This 508-nucleotide ribosomal RNA is filed under the name uncultured bacterium. RNAcentral's name for it is "partial 16S ribosomal RNA". It matches the Rfam family "Bacterial small subunit ribosomal RNA", at positions 28 to 523 of the family's 1533-position model. The record is from RNAcentral.
GAUGAACGCUAGCUACAGGCUUAACACAUGCAAGUCGAGGGGCAGCGGUAUCGAAAGCUUGCUUUCGGUAGCCGGCGACCGGCGCACGGGUGAGUAACGCGUAUCGAACCUGCCUCAUACUCGGGAAUAGCCUUGCGAAAGUAAGAUUAAUGCCCGGUGUUUUCAGAGUCCCGCAUGAGGCUUUGAACAAAGAUUUAUCGGUAUGAGAUGGCGAUGCGUCCCAUUAGCUUGUUGGCGGGGUAACGGCCCACCAAGGCAUCGAUGGGUAGGGGGUCUGAGAGGAAGGUCCCCCACAUUGGAACUGAGCCACGGUCCAAACUCCUACGGGAGGCAGCAGUGAGGAAUAUUGGUCAAUGGGCGGAAGCCUGAACCAGCCAAGUAGCGUGCAGGAAGACGGCCCUCCGGGUUGUAAACUGCUUUUAGUUGGGAAUAAAACGGGGCUCGUGGGCCCCCUUGCAUGUACCAUCAGAAAAAGGACCGGCUAAUUCCGUGCCAGCAGCCGCCGUAA